This 857-nucleotide ribosomal RNA is filed under the name Bacillus licheniformis. RNAcentral describes it as "bacterial SSU rRNA". It matches the Rfam family "Bacterial small subunit ribosomal RNA", at positions 91 to 931 of the family's 1533-position model. Lineage: Bacteria; Bacillati; Bacillota; Bacilli; Caryophanales; Bacillaceae. The record is from RNAcentral.
GUCAGCGGCGGACGGGUGAGUAACACGUGGGUAACCUGCCUGUAAGACUGGGAUAACUCCGGGAAACCGGGGCUAAUACCGGAUGCUUGAUUGAACCGCAUGGUUCAAUCAUAAAAGGUGGCUUUUAGCUACCACUUACAGAUGGACCCGCGGCGCAUUAGCUAGUUGGUGAGGUAACGGCUCACCAAGGCGACGAUGCGUAGCCGACCUGAGAGGGUGAUCGGCCACACUGGGACUGAGACACGGCCCAGACUCCUACGGGAGGCAGCAGUAGGGAAUCUUCCGCAAUGGACGAAAGUCUGACGGAGCAACGCCGCGUGAGUGAUGAAGGUUUUCGGAUCGUAAAACUCUGUUGUUAGGGAAGAACAAGUACCGUUCGAAUAGGGCGGCACCUUGACGGUACCUAACCAGAAAGCCACGGCUAACUACGUGCCAGCAGCCGCGGUAAUACGUAGGUGGCAAGCGUUGUCCGGAAUUAUUGGGCGUAAAGCGCGCGCAGGCGGUUUCUUAAGUCUGAUGUGAAAGCCCCCGGCUCAACCGGGGAGGGUCAUUGGAAACUGGGGAACUUGAGUGCAGAAGAGGAGAGUGGAAUUCCACGUGUAGCGGUGAAAUGCGUAGAGAUGUGGAGGAACACCAGUGGCGAAGGCGACUCUCUGGUCUGUAACUGACGCUGAGGCGCGAAAGCGUGGGGAGCGAACAGGAUUAGAUACCCUGGUAGUCCACGCCGUAAACGAUGAGUGCUAAGUGUUAGAGGGUUUCCGCCCUUUAGUGCUGCAGCAAACGCAUUAAGCACUCCGCCUGGGGAGUACGGUCGCAAGACUGAAACUCAAAGGAAUUGACGGGGGCCCGCACAAGCG